This 36-nucleotide ribosomal RNA is filed under the name Bromus hordeaceus (soft brome). Its description in RNAcentral is "partial 26S ribosomal RNA". Lineage: Eukaryota; Viridiplantae; Streptophyta; Magnoliopsida; Poales; Poaceae. The record is from RNAcentral.
CGCGACCCCAAGUCAGGCGGGACUACCCGCUGAGUU